Molecule: long non-coding RNA, 4911 nt
Organism: Oncorhynchus nerka (sockeye salmon)
Lineage: Eukaryota; Metazoa; Chordata; Actinopteri; Salmoniformes; Salmonidae
Exons: 3
Source: RefSeq, a predicted model, not a curated record
GCUUCACUGUUCCCCGGGUGCCGAAGAUGUGGAUGUUGAUGAAGGCAGCCCCCCGCACCUCUCUGAUUCAGAGGGGUUGGGUUAAAUGCGGAAGACACAUUUCAUUUGAAUACAUUCAGUUGGACAACUGACUAGGUAUCUCCCUUUCCCUUUCCCUUUCCCUUUCAGAAAGACCAGAGUGAACACUUUGUCUGAGAUUGCUGGUGUUGUGAAGGACAGCACUGUGACAGGGAUCAACAUCCCACAGCUGGUUGGACUGGAGGAUGAUACGGUGCUGGUGGAAAGCAAUGGCUGGCAACAUCACCUGAUUCCCUUCGAUGCUCUGGAGCGUGGUGUUGUCGCCAAGGAGAAUUCGGACUCAGUCAGAACCAGGUUUCAGCUGCUGCGCAACGCUGACAUCCUUCCUCCCAUAGACAAGCACCAACUGGACAGCUAGAAACGUAUAUUUUUGAAAGGAUCAGGGAGUUUUGCGAUAGCGAGGCUAUGGACAUCACAUGCCCUGCACCAAAGUCAUGAGCAGGGCAGAAACAGGCUCUCUGAUUAUACAUUCCCUUGUUCAUCCAUGGUUUGGAUCGAUCAGUUUAUCGCUGGGGGCGAGAUCCCAGUCAUCAGCACUAUCUACAGUGCCUCUAUUCAAAUGACUCUCUCCUAACACACCAUACGUUGCUUCUACUAUUUAUUUAUUUGUCCUAAUGCUCAACCACUUUCCCCUGAUUGUGUGCAUAUAUCUACAGUUGAAGUCAGAAGUUUACAUACACUUAGGUUGCAGUCAUUAAAACUUGUUUUUCAAUGACUCCACAAAUGUAUUGUUAACAAACGAUAGUUUUGGCAAGUUGGUUAGGACAUCUACUUUGUGCAUGACACAAGUAAUCUUUCCAACAAUUGUUCACAGACAGAUUAUUUCACUUAUAAUUCACUGUAUCACAAUUCCAGGGGGUCAGAAGUUGACUGUGCCUUUAAACAGCUUGGAAAAUUCCAGGGAAAAAAUGAUAUCAUGGCGUCAGAAGCUUCUGACAUCAUUCGAGUCAUUGGAGGUGUACCUGUGGAUUUCAAGGCCUACCUUCAAACUCAGUGCCUCUUUGCUUGACAUCAUGGGAAAAUCCAAAGAAAUCAGCCAAGUCAUCAGAAAAAAAUUGUAGACCUCCACUAGUCUGGUUCACCCUUGGGAGCAAUUUCCAAACACCUGAAGGUACCACGUUCAUCUGUACAAACAAUAGUACGCAAGUACAAACACCAUGGGACCACCCAGCCGUUAUACCGCUCAGGUCUGUCUCCUAGAGAUGAACAUACUUUGGUGCGAAAAGUGCAAAUCAAUCCCAGAACAACAGCAACGGACCUUGUGAAGAUGCUGGAGGAAACAGGUACAAAGUAUCUAUAUCCACAUUAAAACGAGUCCUAUAUCGACAUAACCUGAAAAGCCACUCAGCAAGGAAGAAGCCACUACUCCAAAACGGCCAUAAAAAAGCCAGACUCCGGUUUGCAACUGCACAUGGGGACAAAAAUUGUACUUUUUGGAGAAAUGUCCUCUGGUCUGAUGAAAUAAAAAAUAUAACUUUUUGGCCAUAAUGACCAUCAUUAUGUUUGGAGGAAAGAAGGGGGAGGCUUGCAAGCCAAAGAACACCAUCCCAACCAUGAAGCACGGGGGUGGCAGCAUCAUGUCGUGGGGGUGCUUUGCUGCAGGAGGGACUGGUGCCCUUCACAAAACAGAUGACAUUAUGAGGUAGGAAAAAUAUGUGGAUAUAUUGAAGCAACAUCUCAAGACAUCUCAAGCUUGGUCGCAACUGGGUCAUCCAAAUGGACAAUGACCCCAAGUAUAUUCCAAAGUUGUGGCAAAAUGGCUUAAGGAGAACAAAGUCAAGGUAUUGUAGUGGCCAUCACAAAGCCCUGACCUCAAUCCUAUAGAAAAUGUGUGGGCAGAGCUGAAAAAGCUUGUGCGAGCAAGGAGGCCUACAAGGAGGAGGAGGCCUACUAUACCAGCUCUGUCAGGAGGAAUGGGCCAAAAUUCACCCAACUUUUUGUGGGAAGCUUGUGGAAGACUACCUGAAACGUUAAGUUAAACAAUUUAAAGGCAAUAUCAAAUACUAAUUGUCUGCAGCUCUGUAAUGUAACAUUUUUAUUUAGAGACUGUAAUAUGAUCACACAUCUGCAAAUCAGAAGGUUGCCUUUUUCAGUUGUUGCCUCAGAGGGCUUAGUCUUCCUUACAGCUUUUUUUUCUGAAAACUUCUGAACCACUGGGAAUGUGAUGAAAGAAAUCAAAUCUGAAAUAAAUCAUUCUCUCUACUAUUAUUCUGGCAUUUCACAUUCUUAAAAUAAAGUGGUGAUCUUCAUUGGCCUAAGACAGGGAAUUUUUACUAAGAUUAAAUUGUGAAAAACUGAGUUUAAAUGUAUUUUGCUAAGGUGUACGUAUAUCAAUUUCCGACUUCAACUGUACCUCAUCUAUCACCAGUAUCACUGAUAUCGUUAUUGACAUUGUUCUUGUACAUACUGUAUAUUAUUUUGUUCUUUCUCUACUGACAUUGACACUUGUUCUUUUUUUCUUUAUAUUAACACUCUAUUUCUGAUAUUGCUACUAUGUAAGUAACAAUUUCACUGUACUGUUUACACCUUCUGUAGGGACCCAACCACUUAGCAAGAUGUGGCUGGGGUCUAUAGCAUUUCUUUCACAUGACCCAUCAAUUUAGACAAGUGUGUCUGGGUAAGCGUCAUCUAAUAUUUAUAAAAUAUUUUUAUCUGGACACUUUCUGAUUGCCUGGAAUUUGUCCUUGUUGUAGGCUACUACUUUUACCACUUUUAGUCUUAAUCUUUACUACACUACUCAAUGUUUAGCAGAUGACCUCACAUGUGAAUCCUUAAAGAGAUGGGUGGGCUGGCUUAAGAGUGUGUGAACGAUGCUGAAUGGGUGUAAACAAAGAAGAGCUCUCCAGUCUGUGUACCAAAACAUUCAAGGGCCAUUUUCACAAAAGUGGGGUUAAAAGUUGAUCAACUUUCAAAGUGGAAUUACUUUCCCAAUUGUUCCUCAAAUGCAGUGUAUGAUAUACCAUUUUGUAGAUCUCUGUCUCUGCUUUUAUCCAACAUUUAAAACCCCCCCAGGGACAUCAUCUGGAAAAUGGCCAAGGAGAACAAGUUUCUGUAUGAGAAGAAGCUCCGCAUCAAAGAGGCUCUGAUACCGCAGGAUCUGACUGCCAGGAAGAAACUGUGGCCACUUAUACAGAAAGCACGACAAGAGGGAAAGAAGGCUGAGUUCAAGGGCCCACACGCGUUUAUUGAAGGAAGAAAGAUUCCUGGUUAACUUUGAUGACAUGAACCACAUUUUAACUGAGCUUGUUUUCAACUCACUCAAUAUCGUUAGCCUGAAUGCUCAGGGUUUGAGAGAUCUUACAAAAAGGAAAGAGCAAAAUGGAUUGAAGAGGGGGAAAGAAACACCAGUUAUUUUUUUUGCACUUGAAAAGAGGAACUACAAAAGAAAAUCUCUAACGGCACUCAAAAUGAAUGAUGUAUUAUGCAAAGAUUAUAAUAUAAACAUUUGUCAAUUCCUUUUAUGAAAACCUUUACAUCUCACAAUUUCAGGAAGAUGGUUGUGAAAGCUACAUUUGUAUGAGGAUGAUUUACACUCAGUUUGCAAUUCAUCUGUGUCAAUCGAAGAAAUUAGAGAGGCUCUGAGUUCAAUGAAAAAAGGGAAAUCACCUGGCCCUGAUGGUCUGUCAAUUGAAUUCUAUAUGCAGUUUUGGGAAUUACUAGAAUACCCUAUUUUUAAUGUUUCAAGAUUGCAUUGAAAAUGGUGAAAUGGUCUCCACUAUGAAACUGUGCCUUAUUUCACUGAUUCCAAAGCCUGAUAAAGACCCUUCUCUCACUGACAAUGGGAGACCAAUUACUUUAUUAAAUAUUGAUUACAAAUUGAUUGCUCUGGUUUAUGCCAAAAUAUUAAAUAAAGGAAAAGAUACUAUUUAUAAAUGAGACUCAAACAGGAUUUAUGAAGGGCCGUCACAUAAGCUCCAACAUUCGUUUAGUCGUCGACCUUUUAGAUUAUUAUGUAAUUGAUUCAGAUGCUGUUGUUUUAUUUUUGGACUUCUGUAAAACCUUUGACACAAUUGAACAUUAAUUUCUCUUUCGGUCUCUUAAACUGUUUGGUUUCGGUGAAAAUGGUUAUCAAAGUCAUUGUCACACCGUGAUCUGUUUCACCUGUCUGUGUGAUUGUCUCCACCCACCUCCAGGUGUCUCCUGUUUUCCCCAUUAGUCCCCAGUGUAUUUAUCCCUGUGGUUCAGGUCUCUCUGUGUCAGUUCGUCUUGUUUUGCCAAGUCAACCAGCGUUUCUCCUAGCUCCUAUUUUUUUCCCCAGUCUCUAUUUUUUCCUAGCCCUCCUGGUUUUGACCCUUGCCUGUCCUGAUGCCGUAUCCACCUGCCUGACCACUCUGCCUGUUCUGACCUCGAGCCUGCCUAUCCCCUUGUACUGUUUGGACUCUGACCUGGUUUAUGAACUCUCGCCUGUCCCCGACCUGCCUUUUGCCUACACCUUUUGGUAUGAUAAAUAUCGGAGCUCAACCAUCUGCCUCCUGUGUCUGUAUUUGGGUCUCGCCUUGUGCCCUUAUACGCAUGUUUUACAAAUAAAUAAGUAUUUCUGUAACACAUCCAAAAGAUUCAGAAUCAACAGAAGUGUAUGACAGGGAUGCCCAAUUUUGCACUUUUUAUUCAUCUUGGUAGUGAUAUCUCUAGAUAUUCUGAAUAAUGCAAAUCUGCAUGGCUUAUCCAGUUUUAACAGAGAAAUCCAAAUUACCCAACGCUGACGAUAUUACUUUUUUUUUUAAAGACAAAUACCAGGUUGCCCAUGCCCUUAAUGCUAGCACUGCAUUCUAUUGCAUCUGGGUUAAAUCUGAAUCUUUCUAAAUGUGAAAUCUUAUGUUUAUAUGACUCUGA